GUGAGUCAGGGUGCAAAUCCCAGGCCUUUUCAACCUUAAGCUUGCUCUUCAUCUCAUCUCCAACCGUUUGUCUUCCAACAGCCCAGCGAGUUCGAAGACAAGGCCAUCAAGAAGGUCGACGACCUCCUGGAGAGUUACAUGGGGAUUCGAGACCUCGAGCUCGCGACUACCAUCGUGGAAGCCGGGAGGAACAAGAAGAACCCGGAUGAUUUCGCCGAGGCGCUCGACUCCGUUCUGGGUGACUUCGGUUUUCCUGACGUCUUUCUGUUUGACGUUUGGGGCGCUAUGGGAGGAGACGUGAAGAACAGACGCAUUUAGAGAGUACGUCAGACAUCUGAGAGACAUUCAAGCUUGAUUUGUGACGUCUGUCAUCUGUUUUCAUAUACACAAUCCUCCCAAUUCCCACCUUUAUCCUGAGGAAGGAGAACGUCAAGGUAUUAGCGGCUAAUCGGCAUGCUAACGCAAACGUCAAGUGUGUAAAGCAGUAUGCAGUAGGUCAAACUGUAUUUCCCACCAAUGUGUAUAGCUAACUAGGAUAUAAACCAAUCUUUUAAGUGUUUUACAAGAUAACUUUGACUUUUAGAACGUAUUAUGAACUAGUAUAUGUUAGCUUAGCUUAGACUAGCCUUUGUUUGUUUUGAUGUCUGUUGUGUUAUGUAUAAAUACAUUGUGUUACUGGUGAAAUGAAUGAUCGUUUACGAUUAAUGACAGAUCUUGUGACACGAUUUAACUUGUGUAUAUAUGAAUAAUAAAUAUUUAAUAAAUUCUAUGCACAUCCAAUGUGUAUUUAACUUAAAAAUCUACUAAAUGUGUUUGCGUAUUGUAUAUCCUGUUUUACAAUCCUUUUAGAUGACCUGAUGUGACAUAUUUAAAUAUGUGCAAAGAUUAAAAACAUACCACAAAUGGACUUUUUGUACAUUCACACUUCAUACACAACAAAGAGAGCAACAAAUGGCUCACAAAUUUCCUUUAGUCAACGUGAAAUCAAAAUUGACACUAUUUACGUUGUUAAAACAAA
Long non-coding RNA from Sinocyclocheilus rhinocerous, 1018 nucleotides. RefSeq lists it as uncharacterized. NCBI's taxonomy places the organism in Eukaryota, Metazoa, Chordata, Actinopteri, Cypriniformes, Cyprinidae. The transcript is spliced from 3 exons. The record is from RefSeq and is a predicted model, not a curated record.